CGACGUAAAGAAACUUAGCCUCACAGAUAGGGACAACAUUUGGAAACGAAUGCUAAUACCUGAUAUUAUGAUUUUAGGGCAUCGUAUAAUUAUGAAAGCUAUAUGCGCUGUGAGAGAGCUUUGCGUCCCAUUAGCUAGUUGGAGAGGUAACGGCUCACCAAGGCGAUGAUGGGUAGCCGGCCUGAGAGGGUGAUCGGCCACAAGGGGACUGAGACACGGCCCUU
This 224-nucleotide ribosomal RNA is filed under the name uncultured bacterium. RNAcentral describes it as "partial 16S ribosomal RNA". It matches the Rfam family "Bacterial small subunit ribosomal RNA", at positions 113 to 334 of the family's 1533-position model. The record is from RNAcentral.